GCAAAAACAACUCUGGAAGGAUGGUACAGAGGGGAAAAGAAAGCCAAGAAGUUCGCUAUCCCCAGAAUUUGGCGGGAACCCACUGACCACUCAAGCAACUGCUACUUCUGCAAGGUGGACCCUUCCAAACGUCGGACUGGCAAAAAUGCACCUGCUAUCACGUAUCCGGGACCUUCCUUCAUCCAUCGCCCCGGUGCCUCACUGCCACAAACUACCCGUACCCACUCCUCCGGAGCGAGAGCAGUCGUCUUUAGAAGAGGGCAGCAAGUCAGAGAGCGAGGAAGACGUUGUAGAUCCAGAUGACAAUUUCAGAGGUGGAGCUGAGAAGAGAAACCCAUACUACCCCAACCAAAAAUACCUCAACGACUUGAUCAGAGAUCCUGGUCUCACCAAGUCCAAUGCCGAGCUUUUGACGUCAAGGCUCAAGCAGUGGAACUUGUUGGAUAAAAGUGUGCAAGUCGCAGAUCAGAUGAAGCGUCACUAAUCUUUUUGCAGCUUCUUCACCCGUCAAGAUGGGCUCUACUUCUGCCACAAUGUGGCCAGUCUGUUCGAGGCAAUCGGAAUCGCCUGUAACCAGAAUGAGUGGUGCCUCUUCAUUGACAGCUCUUCCAGGAGCCUCAAAGCCAUGCUGCUCCAUCAUGGUAACAAGUACCCGUCUCUUCCCCUGGUUCACUCGGUGCACCUCAAAGAGGAUUACAACAGCAUCAAGACCUUGCUGGAUGCCUUGAAGUAUGAUGAGUACGGCUGGGAGAUCAUCAGAGACUUCGAAAUGGUGGCAUUCCUGAUAGGUCUCCAAGGCGGUUUGACAAAGUGUCCCUGCUAUCUUUGCCAUUGGGACAGCAGGGACACCAAGUCACACUACCACAGGUGGGACUGGCCACAGCGGACCGAGUUCUCUGUGGGAAGGAACAACGUCAAGUGGGAGCCACUGGUGGACCCACGGAAGGACCGAGGGAGAACAGCAAGAGUGGUGGUGCCCAUCUCAGACGAGCCGAACGUCCAAUCAGAUGGCAGGAAGUCGUACGAAGAGGAGAAGACCACGUGGGAAGAAGUUUAUGAACUUAAAGCACCAGAGAGGAGGCCAAGCAGCAGACCAAGAGAGAUGUGGUUGCCAGUAGCGAACUGGGAUGUGAGGGAUUGCGGAGUGGACGUGGAGCCGAUGGCCCAGGACAGGCGUGAGGAGAGAGAGGACCAGGCAGGCUGACCCCACACAAGUGGGGACAAUGCCCAGAAGAAGAUGCAUCGUGAAUAUAGUUUUGUGUUGAGUGGUGCUUACUCUAAUGUUGGUGGACAUUUCAAAUAAAUAUGGCAGGGGCCAGUCCAGUACUCAACUUAGCGAGGACAAACUUCACACACAAUAUGGUACACAUACGCUCCUGUAUACAUACAUUCUCAAGGACCGCCUUGGUCAACAUUCAGUCUAUCAAUUUUUGUGCACUGCGAAUUCUACAAUGAAAAUGAAGUCUCGCACUUAGAAUAUCUGGAUAUUUGUAAUAUCUACACACGUUUGCAAAAACAUUUUCAGUCGUUUUGUGUGCACAACCGACGAUAAUGUUGUGUCUGUUUUUUAUAAGUGUACCAAUAUGCAAAUUAGCAUCUGUAUGUUCUGUCCAUCUCAUUGAUUCCACACAUUUGCGGAUAAAAUUUACGAUGUCCUGCGGACAAAGGCAAUCAAUGGCUUAUCAUGGUAAAGUACACGCGAGCACAACAAUGAUCCCCCAUUAGCCUUUCGGCCAUAUAGUCAUGGGCUGUCAGUGAGCAUCUAUGAAGGUGAGCGUGUUCGAGAGGGUGGUGGUGUCAAAUCACCGACUUUACUGGGGUAGAGCAGCGGUGACACAGUCAUGAGAUCACUGAACUGUGAACCCAGCGACUUGAGUCCGAUGCCUGUUAACAGCUCACAUCGAUUCCCGGCCACCGCGAAUGUUUCUGGUCAGUGAGGCAGGAGCCAGUCCUAAGUUCCCUCCGUCACCAACCGGCACAGACCAAUGUGGGAGUUCAUAAAUCUCCGUGAUCCAUUAUCUUGAUCACUAAAGCACUGGAUUACAGGCUACCUGCUGUAUCAAUUCAUAUUUUUUGUCGGCAAUGUGUCCAUGAUUAUUUCAGGACAGGGAGUUCAUAAAAGGCAACAGGACAGAGAUUUCAGUGUGGCAGAGGUACAAAGAUGUUUCCAAGUGAACGGGUAUUUAUUCCAAGGCAGAGGAGACGAGACAGAGGGGAGGUGCCAAACUAAGACGGCAUCAACGAGAAGCAACCUCGACUUGAGCUCAGGUUCACUAUGAUGGGUUUCAACAGGAGGCCUUGGUUGCCCAAGAAAACAUGUGGGAGGGGUGUAGUAGCAGGAGCUGGCGAGGAGGGAGAAGACGUGGGGGUGAUUCCUAGGACGAUCGUGGAACAAAUGUGCACCAGCCCCAACUGGUCUAGGGAACUCUCCCAGAAAGGUUCAGAUGUCGCACGUGCUGACCAGGUGUCACGAUCACCAGAAUUGUUAAGGAGCGUUAGAACCACUCUGCCACCACUGCCCACAUAUGCACUUCAGGUAACGUAAUUGGUGAUUUUAGUUGUUCAUUUAUAAUAUCAAGAUGAUACAACAAAAACAGAACGACAGAAAUAUGAUCUUGAUGAAGAUACUAUAUCAUUGAGUAAAAAAUAUCAUUGAGCAUCAUGUUGACCAUCCAGUGCAUUAAGUAAUUACUCUAAAUUAAGGAAUUUAAUGAGGUUAACAUUAAUGGCAAAUUGACAUUCAUUUUAAGGUGUAAAGUAUACAGCAGACAUCCCUGGCUAUAUAUGAAACAUUUUCUUCACGUACAUUUCUGAAAAGUGUCCUUAUCUAUCCGAGUGAUCGUUGAGGAAUUUAAAAUGUGGUGCCCAUAUUUGCUGUGUCCACAUAAUUGUCACUUUUAAGGCCUCCUGCCCAAUGCUGCAAUCAGUCGCCCCAUAGACUAAGUGCAAGGCUGGGCAUUUGGAUCAGGCAUGAGCCGUGACAUCACGACAGCGCAAUAGCAGUUCUAAUUCAACGCAAUUACAAACAUAAUGUGAUUGCCACUUGCACAACCCCACAGUUUGCUGUAUAGAUUGUUUCGGCUUUAAAACAAAUGCUGAAUUUAUUAUACGAAAAAAAAUCCCAUUAUUUCACACGAAUCUACGCUAAACGAUAAGAUAAAUAGACCCACAGCAGAGUGCUCAUGGGCCCGCGUAUAAAUAAUUACUAAAACGCAGAUAAUUGUCAUAUGAACAUUUGUGAGGUAGUCUCAGCUCAUAUAUAUUAAAAUAAAAGACAACCCUUUACAUUCAAUGCAUGCGGAUUCGAAUUAUAUAACGUUGCAGCCAUACACAUUACACACAUUUGUAGGUGACGUUCCCUGCUCAUUUGUGAAUAACAGCUCAUGAAUUUUAAAACGCUACACCAACCCCGAUAGAGAACAAACGCAUCACUCACGCACCACGGCUACUAAGAGGGCUUCAAUUCAAUACCCAGACCUCAAUUACAGAGCCGCUCGCCCCACAAUAAGACCAAUGGCAUAUCUACAUUCUCAAUCGGUUAAGAAAUUGUCUGAAUUAGGACAUGCCCUUCAUGAAAAGAGACCCAUCAAUAAGGCCAAUCGUAUUAAUAUUGUGUUUCUCGUACACUAUGAUCAACGUGGGAUAAAUUCAUACCGAAGCAGUGCCAUGGAUUUACAAUGCCUAAUUCAAGAGCAGAAAAAUAUUCACCACUGCUAACCUUUCCUCUACAAUAACCAUCAUUAACCAUCAUCUUCUAAUGAUCACAGCGAUACACUCCGCUGCCCCUGACGCGGUUACCUGGCUUGACCACCUGAAUGUGAAGUUGUUGCUGUUGCUCUGCAUCUACAGCAGCUGUAGAACAGAAAAUAAUAUAAUGGAGAAAAUAAUGGUAUGCAUCCACUUAAAAUGGACACAUUUUAAUAUGUAACAUGUUUUAGCGGUGUGGUCGGCUACAGGACUUAUCACCAUUGUUAAUAAUGAAUGCACUUUAACAUCCUUUUAUCAAUCUGCUGCUUGAUGAAGGUCUCGCAGUGUUGAGAUGGUGAUGGAGGAUGUUUGGGCAUACUUCACCACGCUGGUCAGUGCGGACCCGUGAAGGGGGGGCAUGCCCAGGAUCAGCCGUGGUCAGGAAUCAAACUCAGGUCACCGGGUUCCCAUUGGAAUGCACUUACAACUGUGCCAUCACUCUACCACAGUAUACAUAUACUUGUACACUUGUGUAGUGACAUAGAGUCGGUCACGGAGCAGCAUAGCGCUGGCUGCUGGCAGGGAAGGGGAUCUGCAGCUCGCAGCAGCCCUGACUGACAGCAGGUCACGCGAUUGACCAGAGGGGGAUGUAGGGGAAAGCUCACGGAAGGGGCACAUCGAGAACCCGCUAGAAGGCUCCAGAAGGGGGGCAUGUCCAGGGGCGGAGCCAGCAGGCCACGCUGGCAGUAGAAGAGGGGCCCCGGGAGGGGAGCUCGGGGCUGUCGUGUGGAGUGGGGGGGGUCCCCCUCGGCGUCGCCAGUCUGCCAGCCGUGCUGACUGGGAGCCGUAGUCACCCAGUGUGAACUGUUAAGGCCG
Long non-coding RNA from Lethenteron reissneri (Far Eastern brook lamprey), 4563 nucleotides. RefSeq lists it as uncharacterized. The record is from RefSeq and is a predicted model, not a curated record. NCBI's taxonomy places the organism in Eukaryota, Metazoa, Chordata, Hyperoartia, Petromyzontiformes, Petromyzontidae.